UGGGGAAUCUUGCGCAAUGGCCGAAAGGCUGACGCAGCGACGCCGCGUGUGGGAGGACGCCUUUCGGGGUGUAAACCACUGUUGCCCGGGACGAACAUCCCUUUUCGAGGGGACUGACGGUACCGGGUGAGGAAGCACCGGCUAACUCCGUGCCAGCAGCCGCGGUAAUACGGAGGGUGCGAGCGUUGUCCGGAAUCAUUGGGCGUAAAGGGCGCGUAGGUGGCGGGACAAGCGUGCGGUGAAAGCUCGGGGCUCAACCCCGCGUCGGCCGUGCGAACUGUUUUGCUUGAGCACUGUAGAGGCAGGCGGAAUUCCGGGUGUAGCGGUGGAAUGCGUAGAGAUCCGGAAGAACACCGGUGGCGAAGGCGGCCUGCUGGGCAGUAGCUGACACUGAGGCGCGACAGCGUGGGGAGCAAACA
RNAcentral lists this ribosomal RNA (419 nucleotides) under uncultured Gemmatimonas sp. Its description in RNAcentral is "bacterial SSU rRNA". It matches the Rfam family "Bacterial small subunit ribosomal RNA", at positions 355 to 774 of the family's 1533-position model. The record is from RNAcentral. Lineage: Bacteria; Pseudomonadati; Gemmatimonadota; Gemmatimonadia; Gemmatimonadales; Gemmatimonadaceae.